RNAcentral lists this ribosomal RNA (252 nucleotides) under uncultured bacterium. RNAcentral's name for it is "partial 16S ribosomal RNA". It matches the Rfam family "Bacterial small subunit ribosomal RNA", at positions 524 to 776 of the family's 1533-position model. The record is from RNAcentral.
UACGAGGGGGCUAGCGUUGCUCGGAAUUACUGGGCGUAAAGGGUGCGUAGGCGGGUCUUUAAGUCAGGGGUGAAAUCCUGGAGCUCAACUCCAGAACUGCCUUUGAUACUGAGGAUCUUGAGUUCGGGAGAGGUGAGUGGAACUGCGAGUGUAGAGGUGAAAUUCGUAGAUAUUCGCAAGAACACCAGUGGCGAAGGCGGCUCACUGGCCCGAUACUGACGCUGAGGCACGAAAGCGUGGGGAGCAAACAGG